GCGUCGAGCGGCGGACGGGUGAGUAACACUUAGGAAUCUACCUAGUAGUGGGGGAUAGCUCGGGGAAACUCGAAUUAAUACCGCAUACGUCCUACGGGAGAAAGGGGGCAAUUUGUUGCUCUCGCUAUUAGAUGAGCCUAAGUCGGAUUAGCUAGUUGGUGGGGUAAAGGCCUACCAUGGCGACGAUCUGUAGCUGGUCUGAGAGGAUGAUCAGCCACACCGGGACUGAGACACGGCCCGGACUCCUACGGGAGGCAGCAGUGGGGAAUAUUGGACAAUGGGGGAAACCCUGAUCCAGCCAUGCCGCGUGUGUGAAGAAGGCCUUUUGGUUGUAAAGCACUUUAAGCAGUGAAGAAGACCUAACGGUUAAUACCCGUUAGCGAUGACAUUAGCUGCAGAAUAAGCACCGGCUAACUCUGUGCCAGCAGCCGCGGUAAUACAGAGGGUGCAAGCGUUAAUCGGAAUUACUGGGCGUAAAGCGAGCGUAGGUGGCUUGAUAAGUCAGAUGUGAAAUCCCCGGGCUUAACCUGGGAACUGCAUCUGAUACUGUUAAGCUAGAGUAGGUGAGAGGGAAGUAGAAUUCCAGGUGUAGCGGUGAAAUGCGUAGAGAUCUGGAGGAAUACCGAUGGCGAAGGCAGCUUCCUGGCAUCAUACUGACACUGAGGCUCGAAAGCGUGGGUAGCAAACAGGAUUAGAUACCCUGGUAGUCCACGCCG
This 716-nucleotide ribosomal RNA is filed under the name Psychrobacter sp. CUA-827. RNAcentral's name for it is "bacterial SSU rRNA". It matches the Rfam family "Bacterial small subunit ribosomal RNA", at positions 88 to 802 of the family's 1533-position model. Lineage: Bacteria; Pseudomonadati; Pseudomonadota; Gammaproteobacteria; Moraxellales; Moraxellaceae. The record is from RNAcentral.